GACGAACGCUGGCGGCGUGCCUAAUACAUGCAAGUAGAACGCUGAAGAGAGGAGCUUGCUCUUCUUGGAUGAGUUGCGAACGGGUGAGUAACGCGUAGGUAACCUGCCUUGUAGCGGGGGAUAACUAUUGGAAACGAUAGCUAAUACCGCAUAACAAUGGAUGACACAUGUCAUUUAUUUGAAAGGGGCAAUUGCUCCACUACAAGAUGGACCUGCGUUGUAUUAGCUAGUAGGUGAGGUAAUGGCUCACCUAGGCGACGAUACAUAGCCGACCUGAGAGGGUGAUCGGCCACACUGGGACUGAGACACGGCACAGACUCCUACGGGAGGCAGCAGUAGGGAAUCUUCGGCAAUGGGGGCAACCCUGACCGAGCAACGCCGCGUGAGUGAAGAAGGUUUUCGGAUCGUAAAGCUCUGUUGUAAGUCAAGAACGGGUGUGAGAGUGGAAAGUUCACACUGUGACGGUAGCUUACCAGAAAGGGACGGCUAACUACGUG
This 497-nucleotide ribosomal RNA is filed under the name uncultured bacterium. RNAcentral describes it as "partial 16S ribosomal RNA". It matches the Rfam family "Bacterial small subunit ribosomal RNA", at positions 28 to 507 of the family's 1533-position model. The record is from RNAcentral.